Molecule: long non-coding RNA, 2338 nt
Organism: Esox lucius (northern pike)
Lineage: Eukaryota; Metazoa; Chordata; Actinopteri; Esociformes; Esocidae
Source: Ensembl
GUUGAAUUUAACUGCUUUGCUUUUUUGUAAUUUAAGAUUUAAUUUUUUAUUUGGUAGUGGUUUUUAAUCCCAUAUCUGGUCUCUUGCUUGAUAGUUCCAUAGCUAAAAAUGUCAAUAGACUGCUCUUUUGUCUUUGCAAUGUAAUUCAGGUGAGUUUUCAUAACUUUUCAUUACAAGGGCUACUACUAGCAAAGUUGACAGAGAAUGACAGGACUCUAUGGAUGAUAUAGAGCAAAAGGUGCAAUUUAUGUGGGUGUUAGGAAUCAGGGAGCUGGUGUUGGGGUGUGUUGACACCAGGAGGAAGGUUCAGAGUGCAAAAAAAGAGCUGUCCAGGGAUGCCAGUUUGUAUUAGAGGAUGAAUUCUGCUGGCUUUUUUCUUGUAAACUUUCACAAACCCAUUUGGGCCCAGAACAGAGCCUAGUAAAACCACACUUUGAUAGGGAUCACACUGCUGUCUGCCUCAGCCCUUCCGUUCUCACCUGCCACUCAUGUCAUUGAACAUGGUUUCUUCAGCCGAGCUUUGCUCCAUUUUUGUGAAUACUUUUUAUUUUGGAUCCUCUGCUAAUGUUUCAUGUUUCCAUGCUUGACCUUUGUACAUUAAGAAUGGCCAUGACUGGAAUUGGACAGGAUUGUUUUUGAGGAAGACAUCUGAUUGCCACAGUGCUGUUAGCGCUACAAAGAGCAGAGUGUUAAAACAGUCAACUGAUAUUUAACAGACUCUUGAUAUUUAUCAUAAUGACAAACUGGUUUUUCAUAUCUUGUAUUUUUGGUGCCAGUGAUUAUGGCUUAAAGGGAGACAGGGUGACCAAGUACUUCUCAAUAUACAUGGCAAGCACCUACCCUGCCAAGUCAAGUCUGUGCUCUCUCUAACAUCUGUGUGUUUACAAGUAUAGUGAACUGCAACCUAGGGCUGUUCUGCCUGUAAUUUUGGCUUGGGUCUCCACUAAGUAUGCUCUCCAUGUCCAUUUUGUAUUUGCCACUUUUACUUUUCCUCUACAUUGCCUCAUAACAAACACCUACGUUGUUGAAUGAUUGGUGCAGCUAACAGAGAUAUCUUCAUGUGUAUGCCGCUGAAAGUGGAAGGUAUUACAUCUUUUUGAUAUGAAGUGCCACACUGUUUUUAAAUGGUUUGAGACAUGUUGGUCAUUUUGUGUGUUACCUUUUCAUUUGGCCACUGGUGGAUGUGGCUGUUCUAAUGACAACUUGGUGUGGCAAGGAGUCUUGUUUUCUGCGGCACAACUUUUUUGGGCCUUUAUUAAGUCAUACUCUCACAGCCAAUACGUUAUUUUCCACAGUCUUUGUGAUGUGUAUGUAGGAAGCAUAUAAGAUUGCUUCCUAUGCAACUGUAGAUGAGGUUUUUGACUAAAUUAAACAUGUGAGCAUUAGACUUGAUUGCUUAUGCUAGAAUGGAUGGUCUUGGUUGAACUUGGUGAGCUUGGGCCAAUGUGCUCCCUGGAGUAUAAAGGUAUCUUGCCAGGGAAGGCUAGAAUGAGAUGAUGCUUGUGGUACUUCAGAUCUCCACCCGCACGGCAGCUUGUUUUUGAAUUGUUUUAGAGUGGUUACAGCUUCUCUGCUGCUCUGUUACCUCAAGAAGCACACUCCAUCUCCUUUAUCCUGUGGUUUACUUGCUUAGGUGAAGUAGACUAGCUCUACUGUACAUACAGCACUCAUGCUGGGUUCUCUUCCUUGUUACCCCUAAGUUUUAGUUUUGUUGUACACCUUUCUGCUGUCUUUACUGUAGGCAUCCACAGCAGCUUGUGGUCAAGUGGUUUUGAGGUUUAUGAUUUUGUUGCUCAGCUAAACAAAACUAUGGAGAAAAAAAAAUAGUCUGACGCAGGCAUCACUGCUGUUGGUAGAUACGAAUUCCACCCUAGGUUUUCUGCGCAUAAAGUCAGUGUGUCGGUUUACACAAAGUACACUUGUUUUCAUCACAUGGACUAUGGACAGUUUGUAAGAUGGACUAUGGACCAUCUCUUUUGUAAGGCUGACACAUUACCUGAACACUUGUAUUUAGGACCAUUUAAUAUGAUAGAUUUUUAAAAUAAGAGGUUAAAUUAACUGUGCAGUGGUGUAUAAAUUGAAAGUAAUGUAUUUUUUUUUCUUUUUUAAGUAUACCAAAUGUAAAUGAUGUACAAUAAUGUGUGCCAAUCCCCUUUCUUUCUAGAGCCAGACUCUUAACAAGUGCCAAUGUUGUGAAAAAUCAUAAAAAGGACCUAUGUAUUUCAUGGUCCACUUUUUUAAAACAAAUAAACACUAAGUAUGUGAUUAUGAUAAAUACAUGAAAAUGAACUAAAAAGGACAACUUUAUUCUGUAUUUAAGAUUAAUAAUGAACUGCUG